Molecule: long non-coding RNA, 1828 nt
Organism: Salmo salar (Atlantic salmon)
Lineage: Eukaryota; Metazoa; Chordata; Actinopteri; Salmoniformes; Salmonidae
Source: RefSeq, a predicted model, not a curated record
AGACAAUUCCCCAUAAUGACAAAGUGAAAACAUGUUUUUAUCCACAAGUUUCCUGGGGAAACGAUUAUGGGUGGCAUUUCCUGCGGAAGUAGCGGUACUGAUUUAACCAGCUGUAUUUUGGUUUUUAGAAGCUAGGCAACUGGGAUAAGGAAUAAUAAGAUAUUCACUCGCUAGAUGUUGAAAUUGGAGUCCUUCGACCAUAAACCUAAAACUAAAUCAGAAUGUUCCUGUCACGAGAUGGUACAGUUUCCAUUGCUUCCCAAAUGACGACAAAGUGAAAAGAAAUUGGCUCAAAAACUUAAAAAAGUCCCCCCUCGUUUCGCUUUGUUGAUAAAACGCCAACGCAGGAUAACCCAUACUCAACGCUCUUUCUGGGUUAUGAGACGCCGCCUCAGCAGGAGGGUUGACAGACAUGUCACAAGAAUAGAUGAGCCUGGUGUGGUGGAGGUUUCUGAGGAGCGAGGUUCUAUUUCAAAGACCUUCCAUGAUACCCAAACACAGUGGUCAGACCCAGCAAUGGAGGGCCACACCUACUCCAAAGGACCUAUCAUCACAUGUGGCAUGACAACUGCACCAGCCGCUGAGAGGUCACUAUCUGUUGCAGAUGUUACAUUGAAAGAUGAUGCAGACUGUCUGCUGUACACAGGGAUUCCACUACAGAUGUUACAUUGAAAGAUGAUGCAGACUGUCUGCUGUACACAGGGUUUCCACUACAGAUGUUACAUUGAAAGAUGAUGCAGACUGUCUGCUGUAGACAGGGAUUCCACUACUAGAAUUCAACACUGUUGUGUCUUGCUUCCAAGGUUUUGCCCCCACAUCAUCAGCAAUGCCAGUUGUAGACCAAAUUCUGUUGACACUAAUGAAACUUAGAACUUUGUAAUAGCUGAUUAGGCAAGACACUUCAAAAGGUCACCCGUUCAGGUCAGUAAAACAUUGAAAUUCUGGAUAGAUGUUAUUGCUGAGCACACCAAGGAUCUCAUUCCAUGGCUGCCUCGUGAGACAAUAAAGGCUGCUAUGCCACAGGUUUUUCAGGAUAAUUUUUCAAACACAACUUGUGUUAUUGACUGCACAGAAAGUGUUUUGCAGAAGGCUAAAAUCUGGACUCAAGAAGUGAAUUCUACAGUCACUACUAUGCCAGUAAUACUGUAAAAUAUCUAGUAGCAACUGCUCCAUCAGGAAUGGUUGUGUUCAUUUCAGAGGCUAAUGGUGGGAAAUGUAGCGAUAGGUUCAUAACACAGAACUCAGGGUUUCUCCACCAUUUGCGUGCUGGAGAUGAGGUGAUGAGGAUCCGUGGCUUCACAAUUAGGGACUUGCUAGAGGAACGGAAUGUACGCUUGGUCUUACCAGCAUUUACACGCAAGAAAUGGCAGUUGACAAAUGAGCAGGUCACUCGCACACGACGCAUUGCUAAUGUCCGUAUUCAUGUGGAACGCGCAAUAAGGCGUCUUAAGGUGUACAAGAUUCUCUCACCAACUGCCUAUUAGUUUGGUCCCUAAAAUUGCCAACAUACUUAAAAUGUAUGCAGCUCUUGUAAAUCUGAGAGGAGAGCUUAUUUCUAGCAAAUAGAGACUAUUUCACAAUCAACAUGACUAACAUGCACUGAUUGUUUAUGUAUUACAAAAAUGUACAUCACUUUAUUCCCAUUAAUGAACUGCAAAACAUUGUCAGCAUUUGUAACAUUAUUUUAUUCCAACUGUUAGCUGUAUUUGUUUUAAAUCAUUGUUUUGUCAGCUCACACAACUGCUUGUACCAACUUGCCUAUUUUAACUGGUUCUGUCUUGUGAAAAAUUGACUUUGUCUUAUGAAAAAUAAACUGGUGAGAUCAUGA